Molecule: ribosomal RNA, 482 nt
Filed under: uncultured bacterium
Lineage: Bacteria
Description: partial 16S ribosomal RNA
Rfam family: Bacterial small subunit ribosomal RNA
Source: RNAcentral
AUUGAACGCUGGCGGCAGGCCUAACACAUGCAAGUCGAGCGGAUGAAGGGAGCUUGCUCCUGGAUUCAGCGGCGGACGGGUGAGUAAUGCCUAGGAAUCUGCCUGGUAGUGGGGGAUAACGUCCGGAAACGGGCGCUAAUACCGCAUACGUCCUGAGGGAGAAAGUGGGGGAUCUUCGGACCUCACGCUAUCAGAUGAGCCUAGGUCGGAUUAGCUAGUUGGUGGGGUAAAGGCCUACCAAGGCGACGAUCCGUAACUGGUCUGAGAGGAUGAUCAGUCACACGGGAACUGAGACACGGUCCAGACUCCUGCGAGAGGCAGGAGUGGGGAAUAUUGGACAAUGGGCGAAAGCCUGAUACAGCCAUGCCGCGUGUGUGAAGAAGGUCUUCGGAGUGUAAAGCACUUUAAGUUGGGAGGAGGGGCAGUAAGUUAAUACCUUGCUGUUUUGACGUUACCAACAGAAUAAGCACCGGCUAACUGCG